This 497-nucleotide ribosomal RNA is filed under the name uncultured bacterium. Its description in RNAcentral is "partial 16S ribosomal RNA". It matches the Rfam family "Bacterial small subunit ribosomal RNA", at positions 28 to 507 of the family's 1533-position model. The record is from RNAcentral.
GAUGAACGCUGGCGGCGUGCCUAAUACAUGCAAGUCGAGCGAACAGACGAGGAGCUUGCUCCUCUGACGUUAGCGGCGGACGGGUGAGUAACACGUGGAUAACCUACCUAUAAGACUGGGAUAACUUCGGGAAACCGGAGCUAAUACCGGAUAAUAUAUUGAACCGCAUGGUUCAAUAGUGAAAGACGGUUUUGCUGUCACUUAUAGAUGGAUCCGCGCCGCAUUAGCUAGUUGGUAAGGUAACGGCUUACCAAGGCAACGAUGCGUAGCCGACCUGAGAGGGUGAUCGGCCACACUGGAACUGAGACACGGUCCAGACUCCUAAGGGAGGCAGCAGUAGGGAAUCUUCCGCAAUGGGCGAAAGCCUGACGGAGCAACGCCGCGUGAGUGAUGAAGGUCUUCGGAUCGUAAAACUCUGUUAUAAGGGAAGAACAAAUGUGUAAGUAACUAUGCACGUCUUGACGGUACAUAAUCAGAAAGCCACGGCUAACUACGUG